Molecule: non-coding RNA, 28 nt
Filed under: Mus musculus (house mouse)
Lineage: Eukaryota; Metazoa; Chordata; Mammalia; Rodentia; Muridae
Source: RNAcentral
UUGCCUGCUGUUAGCUUGUGGAAUUGUG